This 988-nucleotide ribosomal RNA is filed under the name uncultured organism. RNAcentral describes it as "bacterial SSU rRNA". It matches the Rfam family "Bacterial small subunit ribosomal RNA", at positions 105 to 1084 of the family's 1533-position model. The record is from RNAcentral.
GGUGAGUAACACGUAGGUGAUCUACCUUGAGGCCUGGGAUAGCCCUGUGGAAACACAGGGUAAGACCGGAUGAGCCCCCGUACUUGCGGGUAGAGGGGGAAAGGUGCUAUGGCACCGCCUUAAGAUGAGCCUGCCUCCCAUUAGUUAGUUGGUGGGGUAAAGGCCUACCAAGGCGACGAUGGGUAGCCGGCCUGAGAGGGUGAUCGGCCACACUGGGACUGAGACACGGCCCAGACUCCUACGGGAGGCAGCAGCUAAGAAUCUUCCGCAAUGGACGAAAGUCUGACGGAGCGACUCCGCGUGAACGAAGAAGGCCGGAAGGUUGUAAAGUUCUUUUGCGGGUGAAGAAUAAGGCGAGGAGGGAAUGCCUCGCUGAUGACGUUAGCCUGUGAAUAAGCCCCGGCUAAUUACGUGCCAGCAGCCGCGGUAACACGUAAGGGGCGAGCGUUGUUCGGAAUUAUUGGGCGUAAAGGGCGUGUAGGCUGUUUUGUAAGCCUGGUGUGAAAGUGCACGGCUUAACUGUGUAUGUGCGCUGGGAACUGCAAGACUAGAGUCCGGAAGGGGGAGGUAGAAUUCCUGGUGUAGGGGUGAAAUCUGUAGAUAUCAGGAAGAAUACCGGUGGCGAAGGCGACCUCCUGGUCCUGGACUGACGCUGAGGCGCGAAAGCGUGGGGAGCGAACAGGAUUAGAUACCCUGGUAGUCCACGCUGUAAACGAUGUGCACUAGGUGUUGGGGCAAGAGCUUCAGUGCCGAAGCGAACGCGAUAAGUGCACCGCCUGGGGAGUAUGCUCGCAAGGGUGAAACUCAAAGGAAUUGACGGGGGCCCGCACAAGCGGUGGAGCAUGUGGUUUAAUUCGAUGAUACGCGAGGAACCUUACCAGGGCUUGACAUAUACCGGGAGCCGUGAGAGAUCACGGUGCCCCUUUGGGGCCGGUAUACAGGUGCUGCAUGGCUGUCGUCAGCUCGUGCUGUGAAGUGUUGGGUUAAG